This is a long non-coding RNA of Marmota monax (woodchuck), 1400 nucleotides long. RefSeq lists it as uncharacterized. The record is from RefSeq and is a predicted model, not a curated record. The transcript has 2 exons. NCBI's taxonomy places the organism in Eukaryota, Metazoa, Chordata, Mammalia, Rodentia, Sciuridae.
UUCCGCCCAGGCAGCAUAGAACCCCGAACUUUUGGGUGCCGCAGAUCAUUUCGAGGACCUCACGAGAGCUCCCUACUAUUUUCAGGGCAAAAUGCAUACAUGGCAUAAACUUGUGUUCAGCAUUCAGGGGGACCCAGGCCCUCAAUCUGUGUGGGUGGAUGGGCCCAGGUAAAGAAGAAAGAUUUCCACGGCCUUGGCACUGAGUUUCCAUCCUCCAAGCUUAGUUUGGCCCAUCAUCAAGAGAGGCAGUACUGGUUUUAUAAGGUACAAUAGGUCACCGGCCCUUUUGGCCCCAGGAAAGAACCUUUUUUUGGGUACCCAAUUACUCAACUCCAUCUCUUUGAGAAUCUCAAAUUUGAGUCGUUUGUGGGAGGUGGGGAGAUCAGGGCUCAGCUGGUGUUGGGGUGAGCAUUCUGCUCUGACCCCAAGUGCAGCAGUACUUGGAAGAACCAGGGGGUCUUGAGGGGCGGUUUUUUUAUGCUCCGCCCCCUCACCUAAAACAGGGAAGUGCACGAAUCAGCCUAGAGAAAGUAUCUUGUUUGGAGCUUGCUGGCUAUUUUUAGCCAGUAUCUUUAGAGUUUAAAAAUACUCUGAGAGGCAGCAGUGUGUGCUGUUACUCAUCUGUGGGCUCCUUCUGUUCCUCCUGGCGUGCUCAUCCCCACAUGUACAUGAGCAUUGCACACAUGACCACAGACACAUGGAGAUUGGGCCCGGGACACAUGUGUGGGCUAGGCCACCCACAAAACAGCAAUUUAGUGAUAAUGGGAGGGAGAGUAUCAUCACCAUGACCUCUUCUAGUAUUGGUGACAGCAGGAGGGGGCAGGUGACAGGAACCGCAGGCUGCUGUGCUCUGUGAUCCUUGAGGGCAGUCUUGUCUGGAGUGUGAUCUCCAGACUCUGACCUAACCUGGACACGGCAACAGCCUUUUUUCCUCCAAGCUUCCUUCUCUCCAGCUACGCCCUUUAGAGCAGGUCCUGUAUUGUCUGCACAAAGCUUGAAUUCAAUAGCAUUGUGUCUUCUCUGAAACAACUACAGUGGCUUACAUCCAGUCGGGAAGACUCAGAUGAAGCCCAUAGAGGUCAAAUGACUUGCCAGGAUCCGAAGGCUAAUAAAUGAUGACACUGUGGAAUUUUGAGCCCAGACCUGUCUAAUAACUCACACUUUUAACAAUUGCUAAGAAAUUCUGGGAUGCCCUUUCUGCUCUCUGCCAAUUACUUACUUGGAAAUUCUGCUCAAAACUCAUAUCUUCCACAGUCUUCUCUAAUUAACUCCACCCAGUUCUAAACACCCCAUUACUGCAUAUCCUCAGUCUACUACUAGCAUUCAGUUUGCAUGCUAUUAAUUCAUCUUAAUGUGUUUAUUUUUGUUUUAUAAGUGUCUCUAAACUUUCGUAAAUGGUC